Molecule: ribosomal RNA, 330 nt
Filed under: uncultured eukaryote
Lineage: Eukaryota
Description: partial 18S ribosomal RNA
Rfam family: Eukaryotic small subunit ribosomal RNA
Source: RNAcentral
CCCUUAGAUGUUCGGGGCCGCACGCGCGCUACACUGAAGGAAUCAGCACGUCUUUCUCCUUGUCCGAAAGGACUGGGUAACCCGCUGAACCUCCUUCGUGCUAGGGAUUGGGGCUUGUAAUUCUUCCCCAUGAACGAGGAAUUCCCAGUAAGCGCGAGUCAUAAGCUCGCGUUGAUUACGUCCCUGCCCUUUGUACACACCGCCCGUCGCUACUACCGAUUGGAUGGUUUAGUGAGAUCCUCGGAUUGGUCCCGGAGCGGCCUCUGGUCGUGCCGGAAUGCCGAAAAGAAUGUCGAACUUGAUCAUCUAGAGGAAGUAAAAGUCGUAACA